UUACAUGUUAUAUAUCAUGCUAAUCAUGCUCAGUCUCAUCUGAUCUUGAAAGCUAAGCUGUUGAACUUGAUUAGUACUUGAAUGGGAGACUGACUGGGAAUACCAGGUGCCAUAAAAC
RNAcentral lists this ribosomal RNA (118 nucleotides) under Monodelphis domestica (gray short-tailed opossum). The record is from RNAcentral. Lineage: Eukaryota; Metazoa; Chordata; Mammalia; Didelphimorphia; Didelphidae.